AACGAACGCUGGCGGCAUGCCUAACACAUGCAAGUCGAACGAGACCUUCGGGUCUAGUGGCGCACGGGUGCGUAACGCGUGGGAACCUGCCCUUAGGUUCGGAAUAACUCCCCGAAAGGGGUGCUAAUACCGGAUAAUGUCUUCGGACCAAAGAUUUAUCGCCUUUGGAUGGGCCCGCGUUGGAUUAGCUAGUUGGUAGGGUAAAAGCCUACCAAGGCGACGAUCCAUAGCUGGUCUGAGAGGAUGAUCAGCCACACUGGGACUGAGACACGGCCCAGACUCCUACGGGAUGCAGCAGUGGGGAAUAUUGGACAAUGGGCGAAAGCAUGAUCCAGCACUGCCGCGUGAGUGAUGAAGGCCUUGGGGUUGUAAAGCUCUUUUACCCGGGAUGAUAAUGACAGUACCGGGAGAAUAAGCUCCGGCUAACUCCGUG
This 433-nucleotide ribosomal RNA is filed under the name uncultured bacterium. RNAcentral describes it as "partial 16S ribosomal RNA". It matches the Rfam family "Bacterial small subunit ribosomal RNA", at positions 29 to 507 of the family's 1533-position model. The record is from RNAcentral.